RNAcentral lists this ribosomal RNA (525 nucleotides) under uncultured eukaryote. RNAcentral's name for it is "SSU rRNA". It matches the Rfam family "Eukaryotic small subunit ribosomal RNA", at positions 21 to 549 of the family's 1831-position model. The record is from RNAcentral.
UAGUCAUAUGCUUGUCUCAAAGAUUAAGCCAUGCAUGUCUAAGUAUAAGCAAUCUAUACGGUGAAACUGCGAAUGGCUCAUUAAAUCAGUUAUCGUUUAUUUGAUAGUACCUUACUACUUGGAUAACCGUGGUAAUUCUAGAGCUAAUACAUGCUAAAAACCCCGACUUCGGAAGGGGUGUAUUUAUUAAAUAAAAAACCAAUGCCCUUCGGGGCUCCUUGGUGAUUCAUAAUAACUUAACGAAUCGCAGGGCCUUGUGCCGGCAAUGGUUCAUUCAAAUUUCUGCCCUAUCAACUUUCGAUUGUAAGGUAGUGGCUUACAAUGGUUUCAACGGGUAACGGGGAAUUAGGGUUCUAUUCCGGAAAGGGAGCCUGAAAAACGGCUACCACAUCCAAGGAAGGCAGCAGGCGCGCAAAUUACCCAAUCCCGACACGGGGAGGUAGUGACAAUAAAUACUGAUACAGGGCUCUUUUGGGUCUUGUAAUUGGAAUGAGUACAAUUUAAAUCCCUUAACGAGGAACAAUU